This is a long non-coding RNA of Parus major (Great Tit), 313 nucleotides long. RefSeq lists it as uncharacterized. The record is from RefSeq and is a predicted model, not a curated record. Lineage: Eukaryota; Metazoa; Chordata; Aves; Passeriformes; Paridae. The transcript is spliced from 3 exons.
AGACCCCACGUCACUGCAGGGGGAACCCAGCAUGGGAAGGAGAAAAGAACAAGAAAAUGAGCCCAGUUACACUAAGCCCCCGUUUUGUCCAUUCAAAACCCAGAAUGGACACACCCUGCUGUGCUGGAUGCUACAGAACAACACAGAAAGCACCAAGGACACUGUGGGUUUGCCACUUUUAAGUAAAAACACUCUUCCAUGAUUCUGGUCAGAUUUGCUGGCAUUCUUCAUACAAAUUACAAUAAUUCUCACCUCAAGAACUCUGCAGCAAAGAACUGCUCGUUGAACAAUGAAAUUUUAGUCGUCCAUCACA